CUGCUCAAUGAAUUAAUCAAUUAGAUAGCUGCAGUAUUAAUAACUGUACAAAGGUAGCAUAAUAAUUAGUUUUUUAAUUAAAAUCUAGAAUGAAUGAUUAAAUGAAAUAUAGACUAUAUCAAAUUUAAUAAAUAAAUUUUUUAUUUAAAUUAAAAAAUUUAAAUAAAUUUUAAAGACGAGAAGACCCUAAGAAUUUUUAUAAUUUAAUUAUUAUUUUAAUUAUAAUUAAAUUAUUUUAAUUGGGGAAAUUUAAAAAUUUAAUAAAUUUUUUAUUAAAAAAACAUUUAUUUUUGAAUAAAUAUUAAUUUUUUAAGAAAAUAAAUUAAAUUACCUUAGGGAUAACAGCAUAAUUUUUUUAAUAAGUUCACAUUUAUAAAAAAGUUUAUGACCUCGAUGUUGAAUUAAGAUUAAUUUAAUAGAGAAUAUUAAUUUUAAGUCUGUUCGACU
RNAcentral lists this ribosomal RNA (447 nucleotides) under Sathon falcatus. RNAcentral describes it as "partial 16S ribosomal RNA". Lineage: Eukaryota; Metazoa; Arthropoda; Insecta; Hymenoptera; Braconidae. The record is from RNAcentral.